Molecule: long non-coding RNA, 368 nt
Organism: Dreissena polymorpha
Lineage: Eukaryota; Metazoa; Mollusca; Bivalvia; Myida; Dreissenidae
Exons: 3
Source: RefSeq, a predicted model, not a curated record
GACAAGGUAUGCGUAGAAAAGCAACCAUUUCACAAAAUGAAAUCGAGAGCCUUUACGAUCGUCGUCCUUCUGGUAUUCACUGCAAGCGCUUUGGGGCUAGAUGAGUACGGAAAUUUCGAAGGAUGUGACGUUUAUCAGGGCGGAAAACGUUUUAUCGUGCCAAGGGACAAGUACCGAUUUUAUGUCCCUGGAACGUGUUAUAUCUGCAGCUGUCUCAACAAGGGAUUGGGAUACCAGUCACGCUGUGCAAAACGGUACAGAUGCAUCGAGGGCGUUUCACCAUAGCCUGCAUUCAUUACAAGAUCUUUAUUAUGGAAAUUAAAUGGAAUAAUAGUAUACCUGUCUUCAUUAUUAAACUGUCUGUUUGG